This 204-nucleotide ribosomal RNA is filed under the name Geotrichum candidum. RNAcentral's name for it is "partial 28S rRNA". Lineage: Eukaryota; Fungi; Ascomycota; Dipodascomycetes; Dipodascales; Dipodascaceae. The record is from RNAcentral.
AAUCAGACUUGGUGCUGUUGUUCAACUGUGUUUCGGCAUAGUGUACUCAGCAGUACUAGGCCAAGGUGGGGUGUUUGGGAGUGAAAAAGAAGUAGGAACGUAACUCUUCGGAGUGUUAUAGCCUACUUUCAUAGCUCCUCAGGCGCCUCAGGACUGCGCUUCGGCAAGGACCUUGGCAUAAUGAUUCUAUACCGCCCGUCUUGA